CACUGUUAAUAAUUGUUUGUUCCCCAUUUAUUUAUUUUAAAAAAAAUAUUAAAAAUAUAUCUAAAAGUUAGCCCCUCGAUUGCAAUUUUUAAUAUUUUUUCGUCCUUAAUUACUCGUAAAUAUUCAUUUUCGAUUGUUCUUAUAUAAAAUACGUUUGUUCUCUUUCGAAAUUACUCAUUUUUUGUUUAAUUAAUUGUAUUAGUUGAAUAAAUGUAUACAAAAUAUGUGUACUGCGCAUGCCAUAAGUGUAUAAUCUAUGGCGCAUGCGUCAACUAUAAUGCCUAAACUUUCUACGCGGUUUUAAUCGUGAAAAAAAAACAAUUAUAAAUCCUGAAGGAUCAAUUAAUUGGUAUACAGUUUAAUUAAAAAAAUUAAAAAAUAAAUAAAUAAAAUAAUGUGCAUUCGCGUAAAGUUAGCCCAAAUACAUUUUUUCCAUCCUCCUAUAUACCUAUCGCUAUGAAGGUAUAAAAAAGAUAGGUUAAGAGUUCACAUAGGUUAUGUAUUGAAAUUGUUGGAAAAUUAUUUCAUGUUUUAGCUGGAAAACUACAUGGAGAAUUAUAUGCAAUACAAGAUAAUGAGCUCCAUCAAAUGAAUUCGAAUGAAACCAAACUGUUUACCAUCCAAAUUCGAUUGUCGGGCAGAUAGAAAACGAAAAUUCACUCAUAGUGAACCUCGGCCUGCAUUUGUGAAACGGCAAAGACUCACUAUUAUCAAGGAAAUUGAAGAGACGACUAAAAACGAGAUGUGUCGUAUUAUUAUACCUUUGCCAUCUUGUAGUCAAGAUGUCCAGCCACUUGAAAAUAGGUGUAGUAAUGACAAAGCUAUCCAAGUAGCUCCAGCACAGGAACACAAAGGCAAGGCAAGUGUGUAUUGCCACAUCACCCCUUAAUAUAUCUGAAGCAAGUAUAAGUAAACAAUCAGAACCAGCAAAAAAAAAACUGUUGUUCCUGAGGACAAAUUUGACAGUGAUGAGUCAAAUGCACCAGCAACAGAAGGAUCAACUGUUGACUAUGAGUUAUCUCUCUAUAUCUCCACUCCAUCAAAGACUUGUGCACUUCAGACUAUAGCUCUCAAGAAGACUAAAAAGUUGAAAAAAUGAAUGUGUUAACAACUUUAUCUAAAGUGAAAAAUAAACAACGUUUAUAUAUUGGUCUUCCACAAGAAUUAUGUUUCAUAAUAGGCUUGAUUGAGAAACAUACAAAUGUUUCUGAACAAAAUAUUAUAUUAUGUCUGAUGAGAAUAACAUUAAAUAGAACAUUCUCUCAAUUGGCUGAUGAUUUCGAUUUAUCUGUAAGUCAAGCAAGCAAUAUAUUUUUCAACAAACUCCCAGAAAUUGCAAAUGUAAUAUCACCCCUUGUUAGACUAUAAAAAAAACAAUACAAUAAAUAUAUAUGCAGGAAGGAUAAUUGAUGUCAACUUGGUGGAAAAUAGAAAGUUUUUAGAUAGUUUGCCACCUACAAAACUCUUUUUAAAUAAGUAAUCCUUACUUAUAAAUAGGAAGUUUUGUAAGUAUUUUCACUCUUCAUUCAAAAACUACUGAACAGAUUUUAAUAAGACUUUUAUGCUGGUCUUCUAUGGCUAGCAACUCAUUAUUAUUUUGAUUCUGUUUUCCACAAAUGUGCUAAAUAUGGGCUUAUAUAUAUGAAAAGGAAUAAAUAUUAAUGUUAUGUAACCUUUGUACCUGUAUGUUAAGAAGAAUUUUUAAUAAAACAUAAUUUAAAUUGAAAUAUUAUUUUUAUUAAAUCACAUUCACUUUGUACACAUCAAUAUUUUGUACUCCCUAAAAGGAAAAUAGGUAUAAAGUUUUUUUUAAAUAUUUAACAUUACAUUUUUGUGUAAGAUUAGAAAAUGGUUAUUCUUCCAAAAAGAAACUACAUUAUCUAACAACUGUGCAACUUACUCGGAAUCAAAAUCAAUACCUACUAAUUAUAGUGACCUGAUUAGUUUUUUCAAAGUUGCUGGAUGCUACACAAAAGUAGCAAGUUUUACUUUUAGCACAAUACAUAUGCAUUUGAACUUGUGCAUAAUAUCUUUCUUUAAUUUUUUUUUGCCUUUUUAUUUAUGGAAACAUAGCAUUACUCACUUGCUUGUUUGUAGAUCUAUCAAAAAAACAUAAUUUAUGUUUUUUUUAGCACAGUGGGCAAUACCCUAUUAUUCAUAUUAAUUAUAUACGGCGCGGCGAUGCGAAAAUUCAUUACUUAAUUAUUUAAGAAUGAUAGGCAUAAUAUAAUAUUUUAAUUCGCGAUCUGUUUAUAAUUUUUAAUAUAUGAUUUAAAAAUAAGUUAUCUUUAAUAUUUUUAAUUUUGUGAUUUAUGGGGUGGUCACAGUCAUUAUUAUAAAAAUAGAAAUUUUGAGGAAAUAUAAAUGUUUAAUACAAAUUAUUUUGAUAAUCGAAAUAAAUUCAUAUCAAUCCAAAUUCAUAUUUGAACUAUGAAAAUUGUAUGGUAUGUAAACAGAAAUAUAUUUUAUAAUUAUAA
Bombyx mori (domestic silkworm) is the source of this 2477-nucleotide long non-coding RNA. RefSeq lists it as uncharacterized. The record is from RefSeq and is a predicted model, not a curated record. Lineage: Eukaryota; Metazoa; Arthropoda; Insecta; Lepidoptera; Bombycidae. The transcript has 3 exons.